Molecule: ribosomal RNA, 1441 nt
Filed under: uncultured organism
Description: 16S ribosomal RNA
Rfam family: Bacterial small subunit ribosomal RNA
Source: RNAcentral
GAACGCUGGCGGCGUGCUUAACACAUGCAAGUCGAACGGAAAGGCCCUGCUUUUGUGGGGUGCUCGAGUGGCGAACGGGUGAGUAACACGUGAGUAACCUGCCCUUGACUUUGGGAUAACUUCAGGAAACUGGGGCUAAUACCGGAUAGGAGCUCCUGCUGCAUGGUGGGGGUUGGAAAGUUUCGGCGGUUGGGGAUGGACUCGCGGCUUAUCAGCUUGUUGGUGGGGUAGUGGCUUACCAAGGCUUUGACGGGUAGCCGGCCUGAGAGGGUGACCGGCCACAUUGGGACUGAGAUACGGCCCAGACUCCUAUGGGAGGCAGCAGUGGGGAAUAUUGCACAAUGGGCGGAAGCCUGAUGCAGCAACGCCGCGUGCGGGAUGACGGCCUUCGGGUUGUAAACCGCUUUCGCCUGUGACGAAGCGUGAGUGACGGUAAUGGGUAAAGAAGCACCGGCUAACUACGUGCCAGCAGCCGCGGUGAUACGUAGGGUGCGAGCGUUGUCCGGAUUUAUUGGGCGUAAAGGGCUCGUAGGUGGUUGAUCGCGUCGGAAGUGUAAUCUUGGGGCUUAACCCUGAGCGUGCUUUCGAUACGGGUUGACUUGAGGAAGGUAGGGGAGAAUGGAAUUCCUGGUGGAGCGGUGGAAUGCGCAGAUAUCAGGAGGAACACCAGUGGCGAAGGCGGUUCUCUGGGCCUUUCCUGACGCUGAGGAGCGAAAGCGUGGGGAGCGAACAGGCUUAGAUACCCUGGUAGUCCACGCUGUAAACGGUGGGUACUAGGUGUGGGGUCCAUUCCACGGGUUCCGUGCCGUAGCUAACGCUUUAAGUACCCCGCCUGGGGAGUACGGCCGCAAGGCUAAAACUCAAAGGAAUUGACGGGGCCCCGCACAAGCGGCGGAGCAUGCGGAUUAAUUCGAUGCAACGCGUAGAACCUUACCUGGGUUUGACAUGGAUCGGGAGUGCUCAGAGAUGGGUGUGCCUCUUUUGGGGUCGGUUCACAGGUGGUGCAUGGCUGUCGUCAGCUCGUGUCGUGAGAUGUUGGGUUAAGUCCCGCAACGAGCGCAACCCUUGUUCACUGUUGCCAGCACGUUAUGGUGGGGACUCAGUGGAGACCGCCGGGGUCAACUCGGAGGAAGGUGGGGAUGACGUCAAGUCAUCAUGCCCCUUAUGUCCAGGGCUUCACGCAUGCUACAAUGGCUGGUACAGAGAGUGGCGAGCCUGUGAGGGUGAGCGAAUCUCGGAAAGCCGGUCUCAGUUCGGAUUGGGGUCUGCAACUCGACCUCAUGAAGUCGGAGUCGCUAGUAAUCGCAGAUCAGCAACGCUGCGGUGAAUACGUUCCCGGGGCUUGUACACACCGCCCGUCAAGUCAUGAAAGUUGGUAACACCCGAAGCCGGUGGCCUAACCGUUGUGGGGGAGCCGUCGAAGGUGGGACUGGUGAUUAGG